UGUAGGAAGAGAAAGAAAAUUCGAUUCCCUGAGUAGCGGCGAGCGAAACGGGAAGAGCCCAAACCAACAAGCUUGCUUGUUGGGGUUGUAGGACUCCGAUAUGGUAGUCUGUUAGUAUAGUUGAAGGAUUUGGAAAAUUCCGCUAAAGAGGGUGAAAGCCCCGUAGACGAAAUGCUGACAACACCUAGGAGGAUCCUGAGUACGGCGGAACACGAGAAAUUCCGUCGGAAUCCGCGGGGACCAUCCCGCAAGGCUAAAUACUCCCUAGUGACCGAUAGUGAACCAGUACCGUGAGGGAAAGGUGAAAAGCACCCCGGAAGGGGAGUGAAAUAGAUCCUGAAACCGUGUGCCUACAACAAGUCAAAGCUCGUUAAUGAGUGAUGGCGUGCCUUUUGUAGAAUGAACCGGCGAGUUACGAUUGCAUGCGAGGUUAAGUCGAAGAGACGGAGCCGCAGCGAAAGCGAGUCUGAAUAGGGCGAAUGAGUAUGUAGUCGUAGACCCGAAACCAUGUGAUCUACCCAUGUCCAGGUUGAAGGUGCGGUAAAACGCACUGGAGGACCGAACCCACGUACGUUGAAAAGUGCGGGGAUGAGGUGUGGGUAGCGGAGAAAUUCCAAACGAACUUGGAGAUAGCUGGUUCUCUCCGAAAUAGCUUUAGGGCUAGCCUCGGAAUUGAGAAUGAUGGAGGUAGAGCACUGUUUGGACUAGGGGCCCAUCUCGGGUUACCGAAUUCAGAUAAACU
Molecule: ribosomal RNA, 742 nt
Filed under: Enterococcus faecalis
Lineage: Bacteria; Bacillati; Bacillota; Bacilli; Lactobacillales; Enterococcaceae
Description: partial 23S ribosomal RNA
Rfam family: Bacterial large subunit ribosomal RNA
Source: RNAcentral